UUCUAAGUGCUAUAGGUGUUGGGGAGAAAUCCGCUACUGUUAUUGGGGCAACGUUUCAGUGGUUCUUGCGAGAUUUAACUGGUAUGGUUGGAGGCGUCUUGUUCACAUGUUACCAGGGUUCUAAUUUAGU
Nicotiana tabacum (common tobacco) is the source of this 130-nucleotide non-coding RNA. The record is from RefSeq and is a predicted model, not a curated record. NCBI's taxonomy places the organism in Eukaryota, Viridiplantae, Streptophyta, Magnoliopsida, Solanales, Solanaceae.